GGCAGCCCUCCAGUUCUCUGCAGAUUAAACCACGCAGACUUCACUUUAGGAGCAACAAUAAGAUUUAAAACCACAGAAUCUAUUUCAGAGUGACGUGUUCUUCAUCGAUGGACUUGACCUGCCUUUUUUUCUCAGCAAGGAUGAGCUUGGUGAGGUUGCCGAUGGCUUCGUCAUAGUUCUCCAUCUCCAGGUGACACUGGCCCAUGAAGAAGUGAGCUUUGACUGACUGGCUGUCGAGCUCCAGAGCGUGUCUGCAGUCUGCCAGAGCUUUGUCAUACUGCUGCAGCUUCACGUAGCACAGCGCUCGGUUGGUAUAGUAUGCUGGGACAGACGGACUGUGGGUCUGAAAGAGGAGGAAAGAAGAAACACUGAUCUUAUUUUUUCUUUCCAGAUACUGAAUCCAAAUAACUCAAAUCUGCCAAAUACCGACUCAUGAUGUGAUACCAAAGCUAUCCUUUUGUGGCAAUAAAAACUGUUGGAAUGAAUGUAA
This is a long non-coding RNA of Epinephelus moara (kelp grouper), 490 nucleotides long. RefSeq lists it as uncharacterized. The record is from RefSeq and is a predicted model, not a curated record. NCBI's taxonomy places the organism in Eukaryota, Metazoa, Chordata, Actinopteri, Perciformes, Serranidae. The transcript has 2 exons.